Molecule: ribosomal RNA, 497 nt
Filed under: uncultured bacterium
Lineage: Bacteria
Description: partial 16S ribosomal RNA
Rfam family: Bacterial small subunit ribosomal RNA
Source: RNAcentral
GAUGAACGCUGGCGGCGUGCCUAAUACAUGCAAGUCGAGCGAACGGACGAGAAGCUUGCUUCUCUGAUGUUAGCGGCGGACGGGUGAGUAACACGUGGAUAACCUACCUAUAAGACUGGGAUAACUUCGGGAAACCGGAGCUAAUACCGGAUAAUAUUUUGAACCGCAUGGUUCAAAAGUGAAAGACGGUCUUGCUGUCACUUGUAGAUGGAUCCGCGCUGCAUUAGCUAGUUGGUAAGGUAACGGCUUACCAAGGCAACGAUGCAUAGCCGACCUGAGAGGGUGAUCGGCCACACUGGAACUGAGACACGGUCCAGACUCCUACGGGAGGCAGCAGUAGGGAAUCUUCCGCAAUGGGCGAAAGCCUGACGGGGCAACGCCGCGUGAGUGAUGAAGGUCUUCGGAUCGUAAAACUCUGUUAUUAGGGAAGAACAUAUGUGUAAGUAACUGUGCACAUCUUGACGGUACCUAAUCAGAAAGCCACGGCUAACUACGUG